CACUUUUAGUUGCCAUCAUUAAGUUGGGCACUCUGAAAGAACUGCCAGUGAUAAGCUGGAGGAAGGUGGGGAUGACGUCAAGUCCUCAUGGCCCUUACGUGUUGGGCUACACACGUGCUACAAUGGCAUCUACAACAGGAAGCAAAACGGCAACGUUAAGCAAAUCCCGAAAAGAUGCCUCAGUUCGGAUUGCACUCUGCAACUCGAGUGCAUGAAGCUGGAAUUACUAGUAAUCGUGGAUCAGCGUGCCACGGUGAAUGCGUUC
Molecule: ribosomal RNA, 265 nt
Filed under: unidentified alpha proteobacterium groupF
Lineage: Bacteria; Pseudomonadati; Pseudomonadota; Alphaproteobacteria
Description: partial 16S small subunit ribosomal RNA
Rfam family: Bacterial small subunit ribosomal RNA
Source: RNAcentral